This 217-nucleotide long non-coding RNA is filed under the name Manihot esculenta (cassava). RNAcentral's name for it is "long non-coding RNA (MESC_LNC001096)". The record is from RNAcentral. Lineage: Eukaryota; Viridiplantae; Streptophyta; Magnoliopsida; Malpighiales; Euphorbiaceae.
GGAGCAUGACUCUCUACCUCUUCAUCUACUGCUCUCUGUGACUCAGAUGACAUCUUUUAUAUGACCUAAAAACACAAAGAAGAGAUUUACAUCAGAACCAUAUCAUAGCUGUAACUCAUUUUGGCAUGUACAUAUAUGACACAUAUACACAUACAUACUAUGACCUAGAAUCGCCUAAACCUUUGCUCUGAUACCACUAAUUGUAACACCCCUUACC